RNAcentral lists this ribosomal RNA (421 nucleotides) under Bacillus sp. (in: firmicutes). Its description in RNAcentral is "bacterial SSU rRNA". It matches the Rfam family "Bacterial small subunit ribosomal RNA", at positions 330 to 742 of the family's 1533-position model. Lineage: Bacteria; Bacillati; Bacillota; Bacilli; Caryophanales; Bacillaceae. The record is from RNAcentral.
CCCAGACUCCUACGGGAGGCAGCAGUAGGGAAUCUUCCGCAAUGGACGAAAGUCUGACGGAGCAACGCCGCGUGAGUGAUGAAGGUUUUCGGAUCGUAAAGCUCUGUUGUUAGGGAAGAACAAGUGCCGUUCAAAUAGGGCGGCACCUUGACGGUACCUAACCAGAAAGCCACGGCUAACUACGUGCCAGCAGCCGCGGUAAUACGUAGGUGGCAAGCGUUGUCCGGAAUUAUUGGGCGUAAAGGGCUCGCAGGCGGUUUCUUAAGUCUGAUGUGAAAGCCCCCGGCUCAACCGGGGAGGGUCAUUGGAAACUGGGGAACUUGAGUGCAGAAGAGGAGAGUGGAAUUCCACGUGUAGCGGUGAAAUGCGUAGAGAUGUGGAGGAACACCAGUGGCGAAGGCGACUCUCUGGUCUGUAACUG